AAGACUUAAAUGGGAAAUGACAGAUUUAGAAAUAGAUCCUUCUUCGGACAUUUUUCAAGGUGCUGCAUGGUUGUCGUCAGCUCGUGCCGUGAGGUGUUAGGUUAAGUCCUGCAACGAGCGCAACCCCUGUCACUAGUUGCUAACAUUAAGUUGAGGACUCUAGUGAGACUGCCUACGCAAGUAGAGAGGAAGGUGGGGAUGACGUCAAAUCAUCACGGCCCUUACGUCUUGGGCCACACACGUGCUACAAUGGCCGGUACAGAGGGCAGCUACCUAGUGAUAGGAUGCAAAUCUCGAAAGCCGGUCUCAGUUCGGAUUGGAGUCUGCAACUCGACUCUAUGAAGCUGGAAUCGCUAGUAAUCGCGCAUCAGCCAUGGCGCGGUGAAUACGUUCCC
RNAcentral lists this ribosomal RNA (395 nucleotides) under uncultured bacterium. Its description in RNAcentral is "bacterial SSU rRNA". It matches the Rfam family "Bacterial small subunit ribosomal RNA", at positions 976 to 1375 of the family's 1533-position model. The record is from RNAcentral.